RNAcentral lists this ribosomal RNA (1499 nucleotides) under uncultured bacterium. Its description in RNAcentral is "bacterial SSU rRNA". It matches the Rfam family "Bacterial small subunit ribosomal RNA". The record is from RNAcentral.
GAGAGUUUGAUUAUGGCUCAGGAUGAACGCUGGCGGCAUGCCUAAUACAUGCAAGUCGAACGGAGUCUUUUAGACUUAGUGGCGAACGGGUGAGUAAUACAUAGGUACUUGUCUUUGAGUUUUGGAUAACGGUUAGAAAUGACCGCUAAUACGGAAUUAAAUAGCAAUAUUAAAAGGUCCCCUUAAAGGACCGCUUAUUGAGAGGCCUAUGGCGCAUUAGCUAGUUGGUGAGAUAAAAGCCCACCAAGGCUAUGAUGCGUAGCUGUGCUGAGAGGCAGAACAGCCACACUGGGACUGAGACACGGCCCAGACUCCUACGGGAGGCAGCAGUAGGGAAUUUUCGGCAAUGGGGGAAACCCUGACCGAGCAAUGCCGCGUGCACGAUGAAGAUCUUCGGAUUGUAAAGUGCUGUUGUUAGGGAAGAAAAAACAGAAGAGGAAAUGCUUUUGUCUUGACGGUACCUAACGAGGAAGCCCCGGCUAACUAUGUGCCAGCAGCCGCGGUAAUACAUAGGGGGCAAGCGUUAUCCGGAAUUAUUGGGCGUAAAGCGUGAGUAGGCGGUUUAUUAAGUCUAGUGUAAAAUCUUAAAGCUUAACUUUAAAUGGUCAUUGGAAACUGGUAAACUUGAGUACAGUAGAGGAAAGUGGAAUUCCAAGUGGAGCGGUGGAAUGCGUAGAGAUUUGGAGGAACACCAGUGGCGAAGGCGGCUUUCUGGGCUGGUACUGACGCUGAGGCACGAAAGCGUGGGGAGCAAACAGGAUUAGAUACCCUGGUAGUCCACGCUGUAAACGAUGAGUAUUAAACGGUGGCGAAGUCACUGUUGUAGCUAACGCAAUAAAUACUCCGCCUGGGGAGUACGGUCGCAAGACUAAAACUCAAAGGAAUUGACGGGGACUCGCACAAGCGGUGGAGCAUGUUGUUUAAUUCGAGGAUACGCGAAAAACCUUACCAGGUCUUGACAUAUUGGUGAAAUAGUUAGAGAUAACUAUGCUUUUUAGCACCUUUACAGGUGGUGCAUGGUUGUCGUCAGCUCGUGUCGUGAGAUGUUGGGUUAAGUCCCAGAACGAGCGCAGCCCUUAUCAUUAGUUGCUCUUAUUAAGUUAAGCACUCUAAUGAGACUGCCGGCGACAAGUCGGAUGAAGGUGGGGAUGACGUCAAAUCAUCAUGCCCCUUAUGACCUGGGCUACAAACGUGCUACAAUGGCUGGUACAAAGAGUCUGCAAAACCGCGAGGUGAAGCUAAUCUCAGAAAGCCAGUCUCAGCUCGGAUCGCAGUCUGCAACUCGACUGCGUGAAGUCGGAAUCGCUAGUAAUCGCAAAUCAGCAUGUUGCGGUGAAUACGUUCUCGAGUCUUGUACACACCGCCCGUCACACCAUGAGAGUUUGUAAUACCCAAAACCGGUGGCCUAACCUUUUGGAGGGAGCCGUCUAAGGUAGGACAAAUGAUUGGGGUGAAGUCGUAACAAGGUAUCCCUACGAGAACGUGCGGCUGGAACACCU